GCGCCGGUGGUGUAAAGCGUAGCAUCGUCGCUUGGAAAGCGGAAAGUGUGGGUUCGAGUCUCGCCUGGUGCA
Heligmosomoides polygyrus is the source of this 72-nucleotide non-coding RNA. NCBI's taxonomy places the organism in Eukaryota, Metazoa, Nematoda, Chromadorea, Rhabditida, Heligmosomidae. The record is from Rfam.